This is a long non-coding RNA of Amphibalanus amphitrite, 971 nucleotides long. RefSeq lists it as uncharacterized. The transcript has 6 exons. The record is from RefSeq and is a predicted model, not a curated record. NCBI's taxonomy places the organism in Eukaryota, Metazoa, Arthropoda, Thecostraca, Balanomorpha, Balanidae.
CAAUUAUAUUUCAGAUCCCUGCCAGCAUUGGCAGCACCAUCACCAGCACCGCCGGCCUCAGGACCAAGCCCACCACCAGCGGGCGUUGACGGAGGCGGGUGUGCGGCUCUGGCGCAGCUGAGCCGUCGACCGCCGGAGCCAAUCCGGCAGUCCGGCAUUUCAGCUGCCGCACACUCGCCCGUCACAGGAUCAGAGGCCUCCCCAGACAGCUUCCCGUUUCCGACCGGCUGAGACGGCUGCCGUCCCAGCAUUGGCAGCACCACCACCAGCACCGCCGGCCUCAGGACCAAGCCCACCACCAGCGGGCGUUGACGGAGGCGGGUGUGCGGCUCUGGCGCAGCUGAGCCGUCGACCGCCGGAGCCAAUCCGGCAGUCCGGCAUUUCAGCUGCCGCACACUCGCCCGUCACAGGAUCAGAGGCCUCCCGAGACAGGUCCGGCCCGUACCGACAUUGACUCACGACGAGUCUACUGAGUCAUACAGAGUCAUGGGGAGUCAUCCAGAGUCAACGGAUGUCAUGGGAGUGAACAUAGGUGUGGAGGAGUCCUCCGGAGUCAGCGAAGUCAUCCAGAGUCUACAAUAGAGUCCUGGGAGUGAAAAUGAGCUGUGUUAGCGGGUUAAGACGCUGUUUAUACGUAUCCCGGCUAGGCGGGCCGUCGCUCGGUGUCCGGCGGUCGGUGCGCCGCGCCGCCCGCCCAUGUGUCACGGCUGGCCGGCUGUGCGGGUGUCUCCUGCCCGCCGGCCCGGUGAUCGGUCCGUACCACGAGGGCUGAGAGGGGACGGGCCCCGCGGCGGUCAGCAGCAGCUCAGAGAGGCCUCGGCCGGUCAGCCGACGGUGCGGCGUGUGUUCGACGGGUCCGACGGCGGCCUUACAGACGUGAGAACGGACCGGAGAGCAGCCGAGCUGAGGGCCAGCUGCCCAUUCUGAUCGGCGUGUCCUGCACUGGUCAGACACUGCAGCCUAUACUGAUC